This 429-nucleotide ribosomal RNA is filed under the name Bacteroidota bacterium. RNAcentral describes it as "Bacteroidetes bacterium partial 16S ribosomal RNA". It matches the Rfam family "Bacterial small subunit ribosomal RNA", at positions 355 to 776 of the family's 1533-position model. The record is from RNAcentral. Lineage: Bacteria; Pseudomonadati; Bacteroidota.
UAGGGAAUCUUCGGCAAUGGGGGGAACCCUGACCGAGCAACGCCGCGUGAGUGAAGAAGGUUUUCGGAUCGUAAAGCUCUGUUGUUAAGGAAGAACGAGUGUGAGAAUGGAAAGUUCAUACUGUGACGGUACUUAACCAGAAAGGGACGGCUAACUACGUGCCAGCAGCCGCGGUAAUACGUAGGUCCCGAGCGUUGUCCGGAUUUAUUGGGCGUAAAGCGAGCGCAGGCGGUUAGAUAAGUCUGAAGUUAAAGGCAGUGGCUCAACCAUUGUAGGCUUUGGAAACUGUAUAACUUGAGUGCAGAAGGGGGGGGUGGAAUUCCAUGUGUAGCGGUGAAAUGCGUAGAUAUAUGGAGGAACACCGGUGGCGAAAGCGGCUCUCUGGUCUGUAACUGACGCUGAGGCUCGAAAGCGUGGGGAGCGAACAGG